RNAcentral lists this long non-coding RNA (829 nucleotides) under Zonotrichia albicollis (white-throated sparrow). RNAcentral describes it as "lncRNA (ENSZALG00000016314.1)". The record is from RNAcentral. Lineage: Eukaryota; Metazoa; Chordata; Aves; Passeriformes; Passerellidae.
CCUUGCUUUCGUUGUGUCACUUUGAACAGUUUUCCUGUAACUUGAAGAUUUGAGAACAAGUAUUUACCUUGCAAAGUUGAGCUUGUCAGAAGGGGUCUCAAGAGGCCCUACUCUGACAAAUUGUGUAGGAAUAUUCACAAAUGUCUCCAGCUGCAGAUGGAACAAGAAUGGCUGGUGGUCAUACAGUGCUUGGUUAAGUGUGUAUAUGGUAUGACUUGUAUGACAUCAUCUUAGUAACUUUUUUUUUUUCUCUGUAAUGAAUACUUUUGCUUUUUUCCCUUACCCAUUCUUCUCAUGGGGCUCACCUGUGCAGAACAAUGCCUCAGUGCAUGAUGACUGAAAUAUUCAUCUACAAGGUGGAAUGAAAAACUGAGUUCAACACUGAGAUGCUCUUGAAAGUGCUGACAAAUGACAGCAUCAAGUUCUGCCACAUCUGAGAUGGAGGGGGGCAAAGAACCAAACAAUCAUCACUGUGCGGCAUGUGAUCCUGAGUUAAAGAAAUUUAAUGAAAAAAAGCUGUAGUGAAGGAAUUAUAUGGUUACAAAAUCAGACACCAAAACAGUAGGUGAAAUCCAUUUGUAACCUUAAGUAUGUCAUCAGUUCAUUGAAGAAAGGGAUGAUCCAGCAAAGCUAGUCUCGAUGGCCUCUGGUCAGUGGCCUCACUCCUUCCUGAGGCUUUGAAGGACUCCAUUACCAAGUAGCUUCUGCUGCUGGUCAUGAGACAGAGAUGAAGUGUGGGAACAGCACUGGAAUUAAUGAGGAGUGAAAAAUAUACUAACUUGACACUCUACAGUAGCAGGAGCAUUUUUGUUGUCUUGUUGCACUGACU